Molecule: ribosomal RNA, 465 nt
Filed under: uncultured bacterium
Lineage: Bacteria
Description: bacterial SSU rRNA
Rfam family: Bacterial small subunit ribosomal RNA
Source: RNAcentral
GGAGGAAAGUAGGGGAUCGAAAGACCUUAUGCUUUUGGAGCGGCCGAUGUCUGAUUAGCUAGUUGGUAAGGUAAUGGCUUACCAAGGCGACGAUCAGUAGUUGGUCUGAGAGGACGGCCAGCCACACUGGGACUGAGACACGGCCCAGACUCCUACGGGAGGCAGCAGUGGGGAAUUUUGGACAAUGGGCGCAAGCCUGAUCCAGCAAUGCCGCGUGAGUGAAGAAGGCCUUCGGGUUGUAAAGCUCUUUCAGUCGAGAAGAAAAGGUUGUGACUAAUAAUUGCAAUUUAUGACGGUAUCGACAGAAGAAGCACCGGCUAACUACGUGCCAGCAGCCGCGGUAAUACGUAGGGUGCGAGCGUUAAUCGGAAUUACUGGGCGUAAAGGGUGCGCAGGCGGCUAUGUAAGUCAGAUGUGAAAUCCCCGGGCUUAACCUGGGAACUGCGUUUGAAACUACAAGGCUAG